Molecule: small nucleolar RNA, 106 nt
Organism: Dioscorea cayenensis subsp. rotundata (Guinea yam)
Lineage: Eukaryota; Viridiplantae; Streptophyta; Magnoliopsida; Dioscoreales; Dioscoreaceae
Source: RefSeq, a predicted model, not a curated record
AGUUAAUGAUGGGGACACAACCUCAAUAAUUCUUUAAAUCUAUCCUAGUCGUCACACAAAGAAUCUCUAUUCGUUUGAACAAAAUUAGUAAUCUGAUUACUAAGCU